Molecule: long non-coding RNA, 5083 nt
Filed under: Sus scrofa (pig)
Lineage: Eukaryota; Metazoa; Chordata; Mammalia; Artiodactyla; Suidae
Description: lncRNA (ENSSSCG00055004060.1)
Source: RNAcentral
GGAAAAGCCUCAGCAACAGGGAAGGAACCCCUCCUUGCCCCUUUCCAAUAAAUUCUCCUCAUAGCACGCUGUACCUCUCCAGAGACGUUUAGAGAUUGUCAUUCAUUUAAUUGCUUGAAAAGCCCAAACCAAACAAGAGUUGCUGGAGGUUGGCCCUGUUUGUUGGCUGUCUGCAGAUUUACAAUUUAGCACCACGCGGAUCUUCCAAGUCGAAGUGUUAGAAAUCUGAGGGGCUCAUUCUACCUCUCCAAACACAAUGGGCAAGAGUGGAAAAGCUUCAGAGUCCCCAGAAGGCAUCAAACCCAAUUACGUUACAACACGUGUGCAGCCCUUUAAGCUGCUCAUUAACAUUUGGAAAAUUCUUCUGGUAAAUGUCUUCAUAUCCAAUUUAGCCUUCUUUUCCUUUCCCUCCACUGCCCUCAUUUCAUAGUCAGGCCACGGUAAUGAGCUAUAUAAAUGUAACUCUUUAAACGAAGAAUGUCAUCACUUAGGAAUACAAGAGAGCAGUACAUGUUGUGUAUGUCUACAAACUGCAGUUGCUGUCUGUUAGAGUUUGUAGCAACUUUUAAAUCUGUCAACACGGCAUGAAUUUCAUACUAAGCUCCUUCCCGGUGCUCGAGCCAGGAAGCAAAGGGGGAACAGGCUAUAUCAUUUAUGGGCAGGCUGGUACUGGGUCAACUGUGACAUCACAGUCCUCUCCCACCAUAAUGAGGUGAAAGACUAGACUGCAACAACGUAGCACUUUGUUUAUUGGGGAAAUUUAAGCAGGGCUGUAUUUCAGCUUGUGAUAAAACUGAAACAAAAGAUAUGGAUUACAGAUUUUUAACAGCUCCCAACAAGAGGAGAGUGAAAAAGCGUCAUCUAGGAAUUUAGUGAAAAAUGCCAAAAGUCAAAGGAUUAAAGUAGGCUCCAAGCAGGCUGGUCCCUUGGCAUUUACACUGGACACAUUGGCUCAACUAAAACAUUAGCACAUCAGCCAAGUAUCUAGCUUUUAUUUCAUUCCUAUGAUUAAUACUUAAGCAGAGAGGAACAUGUGUGUACGUGUGUGUGUGUGUAUUUAAAAAGUAUGGGUCUCCUCUUUAAUACCCUGGCAGGUCUCUACCUUGAUCAAAAUUUUAUAUUCAAAAGUAUAACCUUACAUAUCAUGUUUUCUAAAGUCUUCUCCACAAAUAUUGCGUAACAUUAUCUACUUCUAUUUCUCCAUAUAAUUACUUACAGCAUUUGAAUUUAUGAAUAACCUACUGAAUACAAUAUUGUAUAGUAAGACAUAUAUGGCAAAUAAGAGAGGAAAGAAAAACCUUCCAAGACCUACCUUUAUCUAGAAUUAGGAAAAUUUUAUUUAGAAUUGUAGCUGAUACCUACAUUUUGGUGUAUUUAUCUAUCACACCUUGAGGCGCCAUCCUCAGCAGGUGCCCAGUAUUUGGGGAACAGCUAUGUCCACAGCUAUAAGGCAGAGUAAAAUGAGGACCCUGAGUCAAGUGCAGGUACUAAUAGCAACCCAGAAUUAAAAACCAUUAAACUCACCUAAAAUUAUUUUAUCUUUUGCUGAAAGAACCCCUAGACCUAAACUUGACCUAUAUGUCAAUAAAGCAAAAGGCUUGAGCCAUUCCUGUUAGGAUGGGACCUAAGUCCCUUCUCAAGUGAGAAGGACACCAGUGCUUCAUACCACCAAAGUCCCAUCGCAUUCUCUGGAGGAGCUUAUUUUGCAAAUUGCUCUAAAUAGUUCUUCUAUUCCAUUUAAGUGAGAAAUUUAUUCUAAGAGAAAACAUCCACUGUGGGACUAAAACUCUGCAAUUACUUCUGUUCUUAAUUUUCUCAGCUCUAAUCAGAUACAACCUAGCAGAAUCAGGCCUAAAUUUUACCAAUUCUUCCCCUUGACAUUUUUGAAAUGUUGGUUGCUUCCCAUUUUUUAAGAAUCCCAAUCUUAACUGGAGUCAUGCUUUUUUCCUAAUUAUGGGCCUAACCUAUUAGAAACCUUGCCUAUCCCCAUGGUGACCAUAUAGUCCUUCAUUAGCUCUAAGUUAACCUCUUCUUAGUUCUUUCCACAUGCUCCCUGCCCAGAUGCUUAGUUAGGAACUUAGGCUACCUAUUUUUUAUUCCCUAUGAACAGGGUAAUAAGACUGCUUAAAAUAUCAAAUAAUCCAAAUAAUAAAAUGGUUAAGAGCAUGAUCCUUAGGAUUAAAAAAAAAACAAACCAACUGGUUUCUAAUCUCAACUCUACCAUAUAUUUAUCUAUGUUACCUUUGACAAGUUAUUUACCCCUCUGAGCCUUAAUUUACCCAUCCAUUAAAUGGAAAGAAUAAUAACAACUACAAGUAAAGCCAUUAAAUGACAUGUAAAGUACUGAGUGUAAUACCAGCACAUGGUACAUGCUCAAUAAGUUAGCUGUUGACAAAAUAAUAAUUAUGUAAUUAUUAUAUCUAUUAUAAUUAUAGAUAGUAAUAACAAUUAUAUAUUAUAUCAUAAUCAUUCUUGGUGGGAACUCAUUGCCUAACAUCAUCUAAAACCACAGUCUUUUCUCCAGUUACUUCUAUUUUAAGGCUAGUAUUUUCCAUCUUUCUACCUAUAAGAAAAAACAGUGGAGAAAGACAAUGGAAACAAAAAGCAGAGACAGCCAAUCAGUCAGUAAAGUGCCCACCCCAUGUGCAUACAAUCAGCACCAGCUGUAGUCCAAUUAAACUUAAUCUAGUCACAUGCUCAUGUGCUCCUCAGAAAUUAGAGGAAAUCAAUUCAAAUGCUAAUGAGAAAGUCCAUAAUUUAUUAUCUGCUGAGGAAUGCAUGUUACAUUAAUUUUAACUGUAAACAAUUAUUUUUAUUGCAAGAUUAAUUACCCUAUCUUAUACAACUUCCUUUUUUCAUAUUCUUUUAAGGAAUUAGUUUUCAGUUGCUGUUUUGUGGUUCUGUCACAGUUCUUUAGCUUGAGAAAAGUAUAAUUAAUUUAGGGAUGCUGCAAAUGUUGUUUUCUAUUCUUCUGCCAAAAGAAAGUGGGAUAAAUGGCUGGGUCAAGCAUGGAGAAAAAUAGCUGCAGCUUCUGGUCAGAAUGAAAAGACAUUAGAACUGAGAUGGAAGUGGGGGGAAACCUAACAGAAUUUAAAACAUGAGUUCAUGUUGGUCACUUCUGACCACAGCAUUUCCCAAAGGCUUCAACAUACAAGUUAAGGCUUUAAAUUAUGCCUAAGUCCUGAAAAUCAAUGGGACAUGCAUAAGCCAGAGUUUCAUAGCAAAAAAAGAGACUAAUCAUAUUUUCUUAAAAUAUCAUCAAGGUCUAGACUUCUCUGUACAUGCUGCAUGGAGUGACUAUUUUUUUGUUUGGAUUUUUCUUUUUUUUUUUAAGUGAUCAGAAAGGGAUGAAAUUUGUGCUGUCAGGAUUCUGCUCCCUUGACAAAGUUGCCCUCACUCUGAUUUGGCUUUCAAGGUGAAUGAAUAUUCAGUACAGUGGCUUGGGGGAUUAUCCUUAAACCAAUCACUUCUCAAUGCGGAGAAUAGGACUUUAGACAGUGGCUAGCCCUCAUAGGGUUGAAAGUGAGUAUUCUAUUGUUUCUGACAGAUCACUUAUUUACUUGAUUCUUGUGCUUUCUAAAAGUUAAAUAAGUCUACUUCCUUAUAGGCACAACUAAAUUUAGCAUUUUAGAGGUAAAUAUUUAUGAAAUACCAAAAUCCAUUCAUUUACUUCAUUGGGACUUUCUUAAUUUAAACUUCCAGGGAAAGCAACUGCUAGCGAUCGAUUAAAAUUAAAUUAGCCUAAAUUAAAUCAAUAAGCCUAGUUGUUGAUUUCAAUGGGAAUUUUGUUAGAAAAUGGAUAAGAGAAUUGAGCCCAGAGAAGAUUCAACUGCUAAUUACUUGUAAAAGUUUAGGCUUAAAGGGUAAUAAGUAUUUGACCUAGGAGUGGAAACAGAGGAAGAGGUGCUGGCUCUGCAGGCCCUGGGCUCCAACCCUAAGUCAGGUUCAGCUGUGACUUCCUGUCAAGAGGAUUGAAUCCUAGUUAGUACUAAUGUGUUUCAAUCUGACCCUCUCUGAGAACUAUGGCCUGGGAGGCCAUCCGGCACACACAACAGUCAGCUGUGCUAGAGCAGACAGGAUGAAAAAUCAUCUUUCCUAGGAGCAACAAGCUCUCAGCACUCCACACUGUAAAUUCAAACCAAAAAGUGGGGAUUUUUGCCCCUUUUACAUGCUUUCAUGAUUUCUAUUGAAUAUUCUCAGAAGUCCCUACCAGGAGAGCAUGUGCUACUUAUCAGAAUCACAUACAGUAGCUACAAAAACCAGGAAGUGGUUAGAAGGGACAGGCUGUGGUGAUAAAAGUCACACCUGGUUUUAAUUUGAUGUCAGAUGUCAUAAGGACAGGCUCAGAAGAUGAAACUUCACUUCUACUCCAACCCUAUAGGGAAUUAUUGCUGAUUUAUUUUUAGCAAAGAAUGUUUCAUGCCUUGAUUUCAAUUCCAAUUUCUCUGCUUAAUAAAAUAAGAUGUCACAUAUCAACCUACAUUGUAGUGAAUUAUUUCAACAACCCAAAUCCAUUCAAAUCCACUUGAAAACUUACCACAAAACCAAGAUCUGUCACAAAACAUUAGGAUUAGUUACCCCUGGAAAACCCUCCUAUAUAAGACAAGCUGAAAGGUGGCACACAAGAAAAAAAACCUUGAAGGAUUUCUGAGUUUUGCACAUCAAACUCUUCGGUUCAAUAUACAUCAGGGUUCUAUGGCCCCUUGAAUUGCCCAGUGCCUAGCUUUAAACUCUGUUCUUUUGAGCAGACCAAAACAAUCUUACCAAGGGCCAAAUUUGUGACAGACUUGCUAGGCUGUAGAACUGAGUUCCCAUUGUGGCUCAGUGGUUAACGAAUCCAACUAAGAACCAUGAGGUUGAGGGUUCGAUCCCUGGCCUUGCUCAGUGGGUUAAGGAUCCGGUGUGGCCGUGAGCUGUGGUGUAGGUUGCAGAUAUGGCUCAGAUCCCAGGUUGCUGUGGCUCUGGCGUAGGCUUGGCAGCUACAGCUCUGAUUCAACCCCUAGCCUGGGAACCUCCAUAUGCCAUGGGUGAGGCCCUAGAAAAAGGCAAAAAGACAAAAAAAAAAAAAAAAAAAAAAAAAAAA